AUCUUCCGCAAUGGACGAAAGUCUGACGGAGCAACGCCGCGUGAGUGAUGAAGGCUUUNGGGUAGNANAACUAUGUUGUCAGGAANCAACAUCCGGGAUAACCUCCCGGUCUGACGGUACCUGAUCCGAAAUCCCCGGCUAACUACCUUCCAGCUGCCGCGGUAAUACGUAGGGGGCAAGCGUUGUCCGGAAUUAUUGGGCGUAACGCGCGCGCAGGCGGUUUCUUAAGUCUGGUGUGAAAGCCCGCAGCUCAACUGCGGAGGGCCACUGGAAACUGGGAAGCUUGAGUGUAGGAGAGGAGAGCGGAAUUCCACGUGUAGCGGUGAAAUGCGUAGAUAUGUGGAGGAACACCCGUGGCGAAAGCGGCUCUCUGGCCUAUAACUGACGCUGAGGCGCGAAAGCGUGGGGAGCGAACAGG
This 418-nucleotide ribosomal RNA is filed under the name uncultured bacterium. RNAcentral's name for it is "partial 16S ribosomal RNA". It matches the Rfam family "Bacterial small subunit ribosomal RNA", at positions 361 to 776 of the family's 1533-position model. The record is from RNAcentral.